AGAGUUUGAUCCUGGCUCAGAUUGAACGCUGGCGGCAGGCCUAACACAUGCAAGUCGAGCGGAUGAUGGGAGCUUGCUCCCGGAUUCAGCGGCGGACGGGUGGGUAAUGCCUAGGAAUCUGCCUGGUAGUGGGGGACAACGUUUCGAAAGGAACGCUAAUACCGCAUACGUCCUACGGGAGAAAGCAGGGGACCUUCGGGCCUUGCGCUAUCAGAUGAGCCUAGGUCGGAUUAGCUAGUUGGUGGGGUAAAGGCCUACCAAGGCGACGAUCCGUAACUGGUCUGAGAGGAUGAUCAGUCACACUGGAACUGAGACACGGUCCAGACUCCUACGGGAGGCAGCAGUGGGGAAUAUUGGACAAUGGGCGAAAGCCUGAUCCAGCCAUGCCGCGUGUGUGAAGAAGGUCUUCGGAUUGUAAAGCACUUUAAGUUGGGAGGAAGGGCAGUAAGUUAAUACCUUGCUGUUUUGACGUUACCAACAGAAUAAGCACCGGCUAACUUCGUGCCAGCAGCCGCGGUAAUACGAAGGGUGCAAGCGUUAAUCGGAAUUACUGGGCGUAAAGCGCGCGUAGGUGGUU
Molecule: ribosomal RNA, 577 nt
Filed under: uncultured bacterium
Lineage: Bacteria
Description: bacterial SSU rRNA
Rfam family: Bacterial small subunit ribosomal RNA
Source: RNAcentral